Salinivibrio sp. KP-1 is the source of this 138-nucleotide regulatory RNA element. It matches the Rfam family "Histidine operon leader". From Rfam's summary of the family: At least 6 amino acid operons are known to be regulated by attenuation. In each a leader sequence of 150-200 bp is found upstream of the first gene in the operon. This leader sequence can assume two different secondary structures known as the terminator and the anti-terminator structure. The record is from Rfam. NCBI's taxonomy places the organism in Bacteria, Pseudomonadati, Pseudomonadota, Gammaproteobacteria, Vibrionales, Vibrionaceae.
GCAUCACCACCAUCAUCCUGACUAGUCUUUCGGGAGGAAUGGUUUCGACUGGAAGACGAGUAAAAGCGCUUCCGUCGGUCAUUAGCCAGCUAACAGAUUCAGACCCUCGGGAGCACCGUCUUCCGAGGGUUUUUUCUU